UCUAGGAAUGCCCCUUCCCUGUUACUAUAUUUGGAGGUAGCUUCUAGGAAAAAAAUAAUUUUCAGACGGUCUUGGACUCACCACACCUACUAUACAAGGACCCACUUCACCUAAGAUUCUCUGACAAGGACCCUAAAGGAGUUUAGAAGCCAAAUGACUGGGAUCAUCAACUCCAGUGACAGAGCUGCAUGUCUUUGUAACAGUGUUGCAGAAAUGAGCAUGGAGAGGGAAUAGGAAAGGGGAGAGAGGUGUCUUUGUGGCAACAAUGAGUGAAUCUUCUCUAGUUAUCUCCUGGUUGCUGGGUUUUUUCCCCUGCACUUUCUUUUGCAGUUGAAAGGAAGAUGAUUGUUUGAAAAUUAUUAAUAAGUGCUCAUUUUUUUCCCUUCUCUUUUUCACUCUCCCUCCCACCCCCCUUGAUGUGGCCUCUUGUUUAGCUUGUGGCGUGACCAUGAUGAAGAAAUUUUUCUGGGAGCCUGGCAGUGUGAUCUUUUUAUGUAAUGAGUCAGGAUUUUGCCAGGGGAAGGAGCAGGGUUUGAGGAUUGAGUGUUUGUCUCCUUUCAAGAAGAAAACUGACAGGCGAGAUGCACCUUUUUCCCAGGAUCCUUUUUUCCCCCUCCCCACUUCACAGGAAUGACAAGUGUGGUAGACUGCAAAGAUCUCACCAUUCCUUUUUCAGGGGAACAAUAACUCCAGAGCCAUUUACUUACGGAAUAUGUUUUUGCUAAGAAGGAAAUUGAUGAUCAGGCUCAAGUUGUAACACAAACCAUCGCCUUGGCAGUCAUGUUUUCCAAGAAAGUCAGGUAAGGGCACAGAUAACAUGAUCAUCUUGUCUGGCCUCUUGAAUAUCACAGACUUCCCUGAAUUAAUUCCUGUUUGAAUGAGAGCAUAUAUUUUAUCUUGAUAUAAAAAUUGCCAGUGAUGGAGAA
This is a long non-coding RNA of Malaclemys terrapin pileata, 926 nucleotides long. RefSeq lists it as uncharacterized. NCBI's taxonomy places the organism in Eukaryota, Metazoa, Chordata, Testudines, Emydidae. The transcript is spliced from 4 exons. The record is from RefSeq and is a predicted model, not a curated record.